Molecule: long non-coding RNA, 1083 nt
Filed under: Cavia porcellus (domestic guinea pig)
Lineage: Eukaryota; Metazoa; Chordata; Mammalia; Rodentia; Caviidae
Description: lncRNA (ENSCPOG00000036118.1)
Source: RNAcentral
GAAAUGCAGAAUGCUAGCAACGCUGAUCAUUUUUGUUGUGGAUCUCAUGCUUGCAUCAGCUGUUGUGAUUACCUUAUAUUCUGUUUGCCUAAUAGCAGCCACCAGUAUUUUUAUCUCAGUCAUUUUUUAUAUUUACAAAAGAGAGAUGAAAAUAAAUUGUGACUUCAACCAAGAUAGGACUCGAGCAAUGCUGGAUUCUACCCAUGCUACUGGGGAGAUGCCUGCCGACCACGUGGAGCAGGUCAGCUGCAGGCUGCUUCCUGGCCAUUUUGCAGCUGUGCAAGAAAAGGCCUUUCUGUGCAAGGAGAGCAAUGCUGUCUUCUACCCCAGAAGGAGCCCAGCACAGUGGAAGAACCACAGAAGAAGGCUUGGCAUAUCCCAUCCACAACCAACCAACAGUUCUUUCUUCAGCUUGCAAGCCAGGCCCAAGAAAGAAGGAGAAAUAUAGCAGCCAUUUGUUGAAUUCAUCAAAUGAAAUCAAUCUUCCGUCUCACCUUGUUCUGAAACAUCAGCUGCCACCUGGACAUUUGAAAUGGCCUAAUUUCUUUCCAGUGUUGUUGUUCUACAAAGCUAAUUUCCACAUACCAGGCAGAACAAUCCUUACAACAUCUAAGAAAAGUGUUUGCCAGUCCUCAGCUCAGUGCUGUCCAGUGACCUCCCAUCUCAGAGAAGCCAAGGAUUUUCAAGACCUUCAUCUUCAAGACUCUACAUGAAACAUGAAAACACCUUAUCUGCCCACCUCACCUUCCCACACUGCCCCUGCAUGGCACCCUCUUCCUGUGUUACUGACCUGCUAAUGGGGCAUGAGUUGCUCAGGAUCUCAGACAUACUCUUUGCUCACAAUGCGCUGUAUGUACUUUCUAGUUCUUCUCAGAGGUCGUCUCUUGCAGAAGGACUUCCGUGGACAGCCUAAACUAAUGAAUGCAUUCUGUACUCUAUGUAAUCCUUACCAUGGUUUGUUUUGCUUGAUAGCACCUACUCAUACCUGAAUUAUUAUAUAUACAUUUUUGUUUCUUUUCUCCCCUACUAGUAUGUGAAGUCUGAAAGAACAGUGUAUUUCUUUCUUUUGUUCACUGCUCUAAC